UAGCGAAGCGCCAGCUACAGC
Molecule: unclassified non-coding RNA, 21 nt
Filed under: Chlamydomonas reinhardtii
Lineage: Eukaryota; Viridiplantae; Chlorophyta; Chlorophyceae; Chlamydomonadales; Chlamydomonadaceae
Description: small RNA Cre_2296
Source: RNAcentral